UACGUAGGGUGCAAGCGUUAAUCGGAAUUACUGGGCAUAAAGCGUGCGCAGGCGGUUAUGCAAGACAGAUGUGAAAUCCCCGGGCUUAACCUGGGAACUGCAUUUGUGACUGCAUCGCUGGAGUGCGGCAGAGGGGGAUGGAAUUCCGCGUGUAGCAGUGAAAUGCGUAGAUAUGCGGAGGAACACCGAUGGCGAAGGCAAGCCCCUGGGCCUGCACUGACGCUCAUGCACGAAAGCGUGGGGAGCAAACAGG
Molecule: ribosomal RNA, 253 nt
Filed under: uncultured bacterium
Lineage: Bacteria
Description: partial 16S ribosomal RNA
Rfam family: Bacterial small subunit ribosomal RNA
Source: RNAcentral